Molecule: long non-coding RNA, 250 nt
Filed under: Mytilus galloprovincialis (Mediterranean mussel)
Lineage: Eukaryota; Metazoa; Mollusca; Bivalvia; Mytilida; Mytilidae
Source: RNAcentral
GGGGUCUAGUAAUUUAUACAGCCAAGACAUUUUUACACUAUAACAAAAAUAGUAAAUAUUAGGCAUCUUAAGACCGCCAUCACAGUGUUCGGACAUAACCACUGUUCUUUUCACUUUAUCUGGUUUUCCUUUCCAUAAAAAAUUGAAAAAUAUAUUUUGAAUCUCCUUCAAAACCCCAUCUGGGGGGUUAGGAAGGACAGUCAGAACUUGAACCAAAAUGGGAAGUGCUAAAGUUUUAAUAACAACCACC